Mangifera indica (mango) is the source of this 472-nucleotide long non-coding RNA. RefSeq lists it as uncharacterized. The record is from RefSeq and is a predicted model, not a curated record. NCBI's taxonomy places the organism in Eukaryota, Viridiplantae, Streptophyta, Magnoliopsida, Sapindales, Anacardiaceae. The transcript has 3 exons.
AAAGAAAGAAAAAGAAGGAAAGGGAAAGGAAGAGAAAAGGGAUUUAUAGAAAAAGGGAAUAGGGUGAAAAAGAAGAGAGAUUUGCAAGAGAUUUCAACUCUGACUUAGAGGCUACCCAAAUCAGACAUCCUCCAGAUCGUGUUGGAUAGUGUUUCGUUGGGUUGUGCCACGGUGUAGCAUAUUUAGUGUUGGAUAUAGACUUUUUGUUUUGUUUUUUUUAUAAACUUAUGAAAUGUUGAAAGGCCGGAGGCCUAAUCACCAUAUUCUCAUAAUCUUUUGAAAUGAGUAAAGAUGUAAAUUAUUUUGUUAUGUAUGUGAUAAGGCCGGAGGCCUGAUUUCAAGUUUAUUUUCUGAUUUCUUGGUUUUAAAUCAGGAUGUAUUUUGAUAUGUACUCAUAUAAAGGUCGGAAGCCUAUAGAUGAUAUUAUAUUAUGUGCUAGGUUAUGGUGCAGAAAAGUUUUUAAACAAAAUUA